This 322-nucleotide long non-coding RNA is filed under the name Phasianus colchicus (ring-necked pheasant). RNAcentral's name for it is "lncRNA (ENSPCLG00000017038.1)". Lineage: Eukaryota; Metazoa; Chordata; Aves; Galliformes; Phasianidae. The record is from RNAcentral.
GCCUCGUUAUGCCCAUCACUGCCUCCUUAUGCCCAACACUGCUUCAUUGUGCCCAUCACUGCCCCAUUAUGUCCAUUGCUGCCCAUCACUGCCUCCUUACGCCCAUCACUGCCUUGUUAUGCCCAUCACUGCCUCCUUAUGUCCACUGCUACCCAUCACUGCUUGUUAUGCCCAUCACUGCCUCAUUCUGCCCAUCACUGCCUCAUUACGUCCAUUGCUGCCCAUCACCACCUCGUUAUGCCCAUCACUGCUUCGUUAUGCCCAUCACCGCUUCAUUAUGCCCAUUGCUGCUUGUUAUGCCCAUCACUGCCUCGUUAUGCCC